This is a long non-coding RNA of Prionailurus viverrinus (fishing cat), 609 nucleotides long. RefSeq lists it as uncharacterized. The record is from RefSeq and is a predicted model, not a curated record. The transcript has 3 exons. Lineage: Eukaryota; Metazoa; Chordata; Mammalia; Carnivora; Felidae.
AGCAUGAAUACCAACAAUCUCUUCGUUUCCAAGGAACCAGCUACAAACAAAAGAAAGUGGAACAGGUCAGAGUACACUUUAAAGCACUGAAAAUAAAAAGGGGUCCUCUGAACAACUCCUCAAACGGCAGCCGUGGAGUGCAACUGAAAGAUGACUGCUGCAGACGACAGACACAAAGAUUUAGCCAAAAGGGUGUUUUCUGCAGCAUCGUUUACCAGAGCAAUAGGAAUUCCAACACAGCCUGAUGAUGGUCCCGUCUAACUUCUCAGCUGGCGAGGAAGAAAGCAAGGUUACAAGUAUGACAAAAGCAAAGACGAUUCAAGCUUCCCACGAACAAACCUGAAAGACCGGCGUCUGCUCCCAGCUCAACCGGAAUAAAGCUCAGCAGCAGAAUAAAACCUUCAGUGACAGAACACGCUUAUCCCCAGAAGAAAGGCAAAGCCUUCCUUUUGUUAUUUUAAUAAUUCCCUCCUCCUCCUUUCCCCUAUGUCUCACUCUCUGGUUGCUUUACAAGAAAAUACAUCAUUUUAAUAAUCAGGAAACCCCACAAAACAGAACUAAGUCACGACUCCUUGAAGCAUUCCAUACAAAACAUUCCUGUCACCUUUA